UUUUUUUUUUUUAAAGAGCUUUUGAGAUUUCUAAGAGGAAUGAUGUAAUCUACAGAACACAAUGAGUUCGUUGUCUCCUUAGCGGUGGGAUUUAAAGCUGUGAUCCUGGAUGGGUCCUGGAGGGUGAGGAGCCUUUGAGGGAAACUGUCUCCUUUGCAGGCUUAGGUGUCCACCCAGAAGUCCCUCAGCAAUCAAAGAAGGCUUCUUCAGAGAGGUAGGAGAGAGCCCAGAAUCAAGUGAUGUCAUGAAAUCCAAGAGAAAAGAUUGUGUAGAGGUGGAGGUGCUCAAUAGUGUUUGGUGCUGUCAGAGAGACAGUCAUGUUGACAGCUGAGGAUAGUCCACUGGACUGAACAAGGUGGGCUGACUAUGAGGAGAAUAGUUUUGUCACAGUGAAUGGAAGAACCUAGACUAGAGCAAGCUGAGGUACCAGUGGGAGUGAGGGAACUGGGUGGUGACCACAGAGCUGGCUUCUAGUUGAUUUGUGACAGGAGGGAGGAGAGAGAAUAAAGGGGACUGGGGAGGUGGUGAGGGUUUAAGAGGAUUUUGUUUAAAUGGGAGAACCACAAAGGUGUUUAAAAACUAGUGGCAAGGACCUGGUGGCAUGUGUGACAGAGAUGGGUGCCUGAGCAGCCACAGACAUCAGGAAUGCCAGCACCACAUCCUUGCAGCCCUCACGAAGAUCCUGCAGCUACAGCCAGUUUCUUGCAAACACCUGUGUGCCCAUCUAUCUUUACACCUCUCUAGGGGCUUCUUCUGGCACCUGGGGAGCUUAUUCUUCUAUGCUGUGCAGGUGCAAUCAGGAAGUGUGGGGAGACCAUGCCCCAAGGGCAACAGUGCAGGGGGAUGGGAUCAUGGUCAAGUAAUUCAGCCUCCCUAUCCUCAACUAGCAUGAUUCUAGCUGUGCCCAGACAGCCUCCCCAAAGGACCCCAUAAGACACUGAAACCCACUUGCCUGAAUGGCAAGUGACCACCACUGCUUAGUGACCCACUCUUGGCUGACUGAUCUCCCUUCCCUGCCCUACACUCACUUUCUCCCUGGGCUUCCAAGGAUCACCUAACAAAUAAGUGAGCGCACCUAACUUCCUGUCUCAUGAUCUGUCUUAGAGGGAACCCAUAUGGAAAAUUUAGGGCAAAUUCCCUAGGAAAACAAGAGGGGUUGGGACAUGACUGGUGAACAUAUGGGAGGCAAGACAGCAGAGGGGAGUUAUAGGUAACCUCCUAUGUUUGGAAUUAAGAUGGUGAGUCUUCUCUGAUGUCUACUAUGUUCUCUGUAACUUGAGUGGACCUGUCAUCUGCCAGAAGAUAAUGGGGAAGGUACAGAUCAAAAAUGGAAGGCACCUGUGUAGAGAAAACAGGAGGGUUUCCAGGAAUGUGGAGGAUCUGUUUGUGGCUGGUGAUCAUGAAUUUGUGACGAAUCACCCUGCCUGCCAUGUGACAUUCUCCAGCAGUACUUGGCUGCUCUGAGGCAGGUGAAGGGAAAGAGGGCAGCUGGGCUCAGCCAGAGGGGCCACAGAAGGGGAGGUUGCAGGAAGAGUCAUCAAAAGUGUGAGCCUCUGCUAGAUAAGGAGGGAGUGAAGGGAGGAGGAGCUGAUGGGUUAAGGUGUUAGACAGGAAAGUCUCCUUCAGCAGAGAGCCAGGAGGCUCCCCUGUGUCAACUCUCUGCUCUUGUAGCUCAAAAGCAGCCACAGACAACCCAUAUAUAGAUAAAACCAUAAAACUUUUUUUUACAAAAACAGUCAGCAUGCCAGGUAGGCUCAUGGCUACAGUUUGCCAAGGCCUGGAUUAGGAUAAAGAGGAGAACUGGCUUGGUGAGUUCAGAAGUGGUGCCAUCCAAUGAGGACCAGGUCAAGGUGGAGCCAGGAGGGGCUGAGGGGCUUGAGGGAGAGUACUGCUGACAGGGAUGUUGAAAUGCUGAGGGUAGGGGCUGUGGAUGUUGCUCUCACCUUGGACAGAGGCAAGAGAAAGCAUGAAUUCAGGUCACCAGGGUCUUGGAUGAGUGACAGGAGGGCCUGAAUGCUCAGCCAAGAAUGGCAGGGACAGCUGGCUGAGUACUUUGAGUGCCUCAAAGAAGCAGGGUGGUUACCAGGGAAGGGAGUCACUGUCUGGGAUUUUCCAGAGAGGAAGAGGAAUGGAUAUAUAGGGGAUGUGCUUGACACAGGGGAGAUGGCUGAGGGAUCUAUUGGAAGUCAGAACCGUAUGUUCUAUAGUUGGAGAUAAAUUUCCCUCUAGAACCCCAAAAAGCCGCUAAGUAUCGUGAAAGCAGCUACAUUCUCUCUCCAUUCUCAGAUUCAUCAGUGAGAAAUCCAUUUCUACUUUGCUUCUCGUUGGCCCUAGCGCCAUCUAUGGCUCACCAUUCUCUAGCAGGUAGAUCCCAAAUCUCUUAGCCCGACAUAAAAUCCACUACCACAUGUCCCAAACUACUCUUCUGGGUUGUUCACCAUUGUGCUUCAGCAAGCCAACGAUUCCCAUACCCACUCCACAAUGCUCACUUCUUCCCACAUGCCUUAGCAGAAAGACCCUUUCUCUGCACCUCCAACACCUGACCAUUCUUCCAGCACAAUGGUAUCUUUCUCCAAUGACCUUGGCAGAAGAUGGCCUUGGCCUCCUCUCUGUGCCUCCAGAACGGGACUGGGGAGAGUUUACAGCCCACACAGAAUGCAGUAUCCCUGACAUUUUCAAACUGUGUGUUAAUGUUGAGGUGUGUUGUGAAGGGGGCAGAAAAGCAGCCCAAGGGAGGGGCCGGCCUGAACUGUACUGGUGGCUCAGGCCAUCGGCACAGCUCCCAGCUAGACACACCACUGGCAAAGCAGAUGCCCUUCGCAAUGCACUCUGGUGACCUGCAACAACCCUUGGGUGUUCUCCAACCCCCAUGCUCACCAUCUCAGAAUCUUCCUCCCAUCUGGAAAAACCUUUCCUUAAAAGACCUUCUUGUAUUACUUUCUCCUCCCCUGUGUGCACUGUGAGCUGCAGCAGCUCUAGUAUGAGCAGUUCUGGGCACCUGACCAGCCGUCUGGCCUACCCCUGCCCAGCACCUUUCUUUGUUCCCCUGUGCUGCAGUUUGGGGCUGCUAGCCCUCCCCCAGGACACUGGGACCCCACUAGUCCACCUUUGUUCCUCCGCGGCCCCUGCACUGUAGCCAGCAGUCCGCAGGGGCUUCCUAACAAUGCCGAGUGGCCUGUGGCCCCAUGCUUUCUCCCUCUUGCUCCCACAGGCUGGACUGGCUAACUAGUUUGGAGGACCCAUGGAGCUGACCCUUCAUGGCUUUAGGGGUGCUCAGGCCAUGGAACCUGAGAGAUAUGGCAUGGGCCUCAAUGGCCUGUUCAGAAAAGCAGCUGCUUUAGGAUGACCCCACCUGGGCUCUAGAGAACAGAGCUCUUAGGAUAGAGAUCCUACAGGGACCCCAUCAGUGGCAUGACACUCGGACCCCCCUAGGGAUCAUGGGUUUGGUCUGGACAAGCAGCCCCACAGGGAAGCACAUGGGAAGCCCCAUGGCCAUCAGCUGCAUGAAAGUCUGCCAUCCAGCAGCCCCACCGCCCUCCCAGAGGCCUCCCCAAGGGGUUGGGCCUUCAAAGGCACAGGACCAAGGAAGCAGCAGCAGCUUCUCUGGAAGGCAGACCCUCCCACCAAUCCCCCCAGCACUCCUGGGGGCAGUGGAGAGCCAAGACUUUGGUGGGUGUGGAUGCAGCUCCAGGCGGGGUCCAGCUCCCUUCCCUGGAACUAGAACAAUCUGGAGGCACCCACAGGGGCCAGCUCCCCUCAUCAAUUCUGCAUCUUCCUGAAAAUGUACUUUUAAGCUGCUUAAUUGCAUUUUAGAGAUAACCCUGCAAGCAAAGUGGCAGGAAGAGAAACCAUAGAGAGAGCUUGGUGGUCAGACUCUUGGUUUUAAAUCAAUCAAACAUCUGCGACUAAUGCAGCUUUGGGCUGCUCCUCAGGAAGCAUUAGCCCUAUUAGUGGGGGCUGGCAGGAACACAAACUAAGAUAUUUAUGGGCUGGGCACGUGUGCAUUACCACGGGGACCAAAGGGCUGGGGCAGAGAAUGGCACAGAUCAGCAUGUCUGCUCACCUCACCUUGCCUUGCCGAGGGCGUCUGCACCAAGCAGAGGGACUGUGCCACUCACACCCUGGCACAGUCACACGCAGUGGAGGGGACCCUGCUUUCCCGUCCCAGCCCUGACCAUCGCCGGCAGCCUAGAGCAAGCCUCCUCAUCUCGCUGGGCUCUGGGUCUCAGUUGUAAAACAGUGAAUCUGGGCAGACGUCCUCUGAAACCUCUUCUCGGGUCAGGACUGGGGUAUUCUCAGGACCAGGGUGAGGAGCCAGGAUGGGAUAAAGACAAGACAGCCGAACGUGACACACACGGUACCAAUGGGACAAAGUAGCUGGUGAGAAGGUGUUAAAGACAGGACACCCAAUCCAUGAUUUUAGGUCAUUUAAGAGCAGUGCUGACAAAACCCUUCACAAUCCACAAAUGGUUAAUAAAGGUGCUGGUCUAUAAGCAACUGCCUUCUGCUCCUGGUUGCUUUGGGAUUGGAUCUAGAAGGAGAUGUGCU
This 4548-nucleotide long non-coding RNA is filed under the name Canis lupus familiaris (dog). Its description in RNAcentral is "lncRNA (ENSCAFG00845020052.1)". Lineage: Eukaryota; Metazoa; Chordata; Mammalia; Carnivora; Canidae. The record is from RNAcentral.